ACUUGCUCCCGGAUGUUAGCGGCGGACGGGUGAGUAACACGUGGGUAACCUGCCUGUAAGACUGGGAUAACUCCGGGAAACCGGAGCUAAUACCGGAUAGUUCCUUGAACCGCAUGGUUCAAGGAUGAAAGACGGUUUCGGCUGUCACUUACAGAUGGACCCGCGGCGCAUUAGCUAGUUGGUGAGGUAACGGCUCACCAAGGCGACGAUGCGUAGCCGACCUGAGAGGGUGAUCGGCCACACUGGGACUGAGACACGGCCCAGACUCCUACGGGAGGCAGCAGUAGGGAAUCUUCCGCAAUGGACGAAAGUCUGACGGAGCAACGCCGCGUGAGUGAUGAAGGUUUUCGGAUCGUAAAGCUCUGUUGUUAGGGAAGAACAAGUGCAAGAGUAACUGCUUGCACCUUGACGGUACCUAACCAGAAAGCCACGGCUAACUACGUGCCAGCAGCCGCGGUAAUACGUAGGUGGCAAGCGUUGUCCGGAAUUAUUGGGCGUAAAGGGCUCGCAUGCGGUUUCUUAAGUCUGAUGUGAAAGCCCCCGGCUCAACCGGGGAGGGCCAUUGGAAACUGGGAAACUU
Molecule: ribosomal RNA, 580 nt
Filed under: Bacillus altitudinis
Lineage: Bacteria; Bacillati; Bacillota; Bacilli; Caryophanales; Bacillaceae
Description: bacterial SSU rRNA
Rfam family: Bacterial small subunit ribosomal RNA
Source: RNAcentral